RNAcentral lists this ribosomal RNA (634 nucleotides) under Janibacter limosus. RNAcentral's name for it is "bacterial SSU rRNA". It matches the Rfam family "Bacterial small subunit ribosomal RNA", at positions 64 to 707 of the family's 1533-position model. The record is from RNAcentral. Lineage: Bacteria; Bacillati; Actinomycetota; Actinomycetes; Micrococcales; Intrasporangiaceae.
GUACGACGGUGAAGCUCCAGCUUGCUGGAGUGGAUCAGUGGCGAACGGGUGAGUAACACGUGAGCAACCUGCCCCAAACUCUGGAAUAAGCGCUGGAAACGGCGUCUAAUACUGGAUACGAGACCAACCUGCAUGGGUAUGGUUUGGAAAGUUUUUCGGUUUGGGAUGGGCUCGCGGCCUAUCAGCUUGUUGGUGAGGUAAUGGCUCACCAAGGCGACGACGGGUAGCCGGCCUGAGAGGGCGACCGGCCACACUGGGACUGAGACACGGCCCAGACUCCUACGGGAGGCAGCAGUGGGGAAUAUUGCACAAUGGGCGAAAGCCUGAUGCAGCGACGCCGCGUGAGGGAUGACGGCCUUCGGGUUGUAAACCUCUUUCAGCAGGGAAGAAGCGAAAGUGACGGUACCUGCAGAAGAAGCACCGGCUAACUACGUGCCAGCAGCCGCGGUAAUACGUAGGGUGCGAGCGUUGUCCGGAAUUAUUGGGCGUAAAGAGCUUGUAGGCGGUUUGUCGCGUCUGCUGUGAAAAUCCGGGGCUCAACCCCGGACUUGCAGUGGGUACGGGCAGACUAGAGUGUGGUAGGGGAGACUGGAAUUCCUGGUGUAGCGGUGAAAUGCGCAGAUAUCAGAGGAAC